Cyprinus carpio carpio is the source of this 1733-nucleotide long non-coding RNA. NCBI's taxonomy places the organism in Eukaryota, Metazoa, Chordata, Actinopteri, Cypriniformes, Cyprinidae. The record is from Ensembl.
AAUAUUUGUGUGGAAACUGUGAUGCAUUUUAUUUUUAAGGAUUGUUUGAUCAUUAGAAAGUUCAUUAGAAACAGCAUUUAUUAGAAAAAUAAAUCCUUUUUAACACUAUAAAUGUCUUUGCUGUUACAUUUGACCAAAUUAAUGCAUCCUUGAAGAAUAAAAGUGUUAAUAUCCACAUACUCUGGAUUGUAGUUCUUUGUUUUGAUCUACUCAAACGUUCCUCUCCAUCUUCAUUCAGUGUUUGUUUUGGAUCUUCAUUCAGAUGAUGGAUAUGUUUGGGAUUUUCUCAUGUUUCAUCUACCUUCACGUUCAUCUUGUUGAUUGCGUCUCUGCUGCUUUGAUGAAUCACACGUUCAGUAAAGACCUGCAUCAGAACAGUCCACCCCAAAUAUUCAGAUGUGUGCUGCGCAUUUUACGGAGGACUGUUUCCUGAUCCUGGGAGAGUAGACUACAAUGCUGGUGCUUCUGACUCUGACUUUGUAUGUUUCUCUUAUCGCUUCAGACAUUUGUUCUAUGCAAACGUAAGUGCCCUACGAAGUGGACAUCACAGGAUACUCCGCCGUGAUUCCAGUUCGAUGCAAACGUAUAUGUUCCAUUCAAAGUGCACUGAAGGGUGCGAGACGUCAAUUCAACCUACAGGUAUAUGAUGUAACACCUGUCCGUGUGUGAAGACAUAGCGCAGCGCAAAUCCAUGAAUGAAUGUUCCGAAGUGAAUUAAACUUCAACAGAUUUCCCGCUGCUCAGAGAGUAGGGAGCAAUGAACAUUGUGUAGAGACCAUGUCAAUGGGAACACAGUUCAUGCAUGGAGCUCACUUCUAACAAGCUGAUUAUCUGAAUCAGGUGUGUUAACAAAGAGAGACAUAUAAAAUAUGCAGAGCUGGGUGCACAAACUUGUUGUUUGUCGUUUCUCCAAUCGCAAAUGCAGACUUGUUUAAUGUUUACGCGGCGCGAUGCAACGCAAUGCAUAAAAACACAGUAUAAGUCAUUAUAACCCGUAAUUAUGUCUCCACUUGAUGCAAACAAAUGCUCGUUUGUAAUGGGUUUUAUUGGUUUUGUCUCGUCUCGCCGGUGUUCUGACCGGGAUCACAGUAUGACAACGGGCGUAACAUUUCCGUCACACGCUUGAGGCAUUCGGCCAAUCACAAAGCACUGGAUAGCUGGCCAAUCAGAGCACACCUCGCUUUUCAAACCGAUGAGCUUUGUAAAAACCAAUCUUUCAGAAGGUGGGGCAUUUAGGAGAAACAAUAAUGUACAGAAUCUGGAAAAUAAUGUGUUUUUUUUUUAACCUUAAACCGCAUAAACACAUUUAAUUACACCAAGUACACAAAAUAAUGUUCUUUUUAGCAACAUCAUAUGACCCCUUUAAUUAAAUUUCACUUUUAGACACUGUAGUAUGAGCAUUAAACAGCAAGAACUUAAAAUGUCAGGAGUCCAAUACCAGGCUGCUGAGUUUAAUCGCUGAUGAUGUAUGGGAAUAUUUGUGCCAAAGUAUGAGAACUUAUGAUUACAUAAGUAUUUGUUUAUCAGAAUUAAUGUAUGUUUCGCUCUAUGUAUUGUUUUUGAUUAUAUUUUGCCAUAAAAGUGAAGUCAAAAUUAGAGGUUAGUGCUCUCAGUGAAGUUUUUUUUAUUAUUAUUAUUAUUAUUAUUUUUUUUUUUAAAUGAGUAUAUACAAAUUGUUUUGGUGUAUAGAAGCAAUAUCACCUUGUCAUCUUGCUCCGUAAACUGAUAGUAGG